AAUAGUUCACUUGUUCUACUUGGUUUGCAGUUUACUCUAUACAAUUGCUUAUGAUCUGGUAUGAGCAGUUCACAUUUGUAUCCAAUUUGUUUGACUUGUAUGAUUGCAUGGCUCAGUAGUUUGUUUGAAAUAUCCAUUUAAAUUUGUUGAAAC
Bufo bufo (common toad) is the source of this 153-nucleotide long non-coding RNA. RefSeq lists it as uncharacterized. The record is from RefSeq and is a predicted model, not a curated record. NCBI's taxonomy places the organism in Eukaryota, Metazoa, Chordata, Amphibia, Anura, Bufonidae. The transcript is spliced from 4 exons.